GAUGAACGCUGGCGGCGUGCCUAAUACAUGCAAGUCGAACGCACAGCGAAAGGUGCUUGCACCUUUCAAGUGAGUGGCGAACGGGUGAGUAACACGUGGACAACCUGCCUCAAGGCUGGGGAUAACAUUUGGAAACAGAUGCUAAUACCGAAUAAAACUUAGUGUCGCAUGACACAAAGUUAAAAGGCGCUUCGGCGUCACCUAGAGAUGGAUCCGCGGUGCAUUAGUUAGUUGGUGGGGUAAAGGCCUACCAAGACAAUGAUGCAUAGCCGAGUUGAGAGACUGAUCGGCCACAUUGGGACUGAGACACGGCCCAAACUCCUACGGGAGGCUGCAGUAGGGAAUCUUCCACAAUGGGCGAAAGCCUGAUGGAGCAACGCCGCGUGUGUGAUGAAGGCUUUCGGGUCGUAAAGCACUGUUGUAUGGGAAGAACAGCUAGAAUAGGAAAUGAUUUUAGUUUGACGGUACCAUACCAGAAAGGGACGGCUAAAUACGUGCCAGCAGCCGCGGUAAUACGUAUGUCCCGAGCGUUAUCCGGAUUUAUUGGGCGUAAAGCGAGCGCAGACGGUUUAUUAAGUCUGAUGUGAAAGCCCGGAGCUCAACUCCGGAAUGGCAUUGGAAACUGGUUAACUUGAGUGCAGUAGAGGUAAGUGGAACUCCAUGUGUAGCGGUGGAAUGCGUAGAUAUAUGGAAGAACACCAGUGGCGAAGGCGGCUUACUGGACUGCAACUGACGUUGAGGCUCGAAAGUGUGGGUAGCAAACAGGAUUAGAUACCCUGGUAGUCCACACCGUAAACGAUGAACACUAGGUGUUAGGAGGUUUCCGCCUCUUAGUGCCGAAGCUAACGCAUUAAGUGUUCCGCCUGGGGAGUACGACCGCAAGGUUGAAACUCAAAGGAAUUGACGGGGACCCGCACAAGCGGUGGAGCAUGUGGUUUAAUUCGAAGCAACGCGAAGAACCUUACCAGGUCUUGACAUCCUUUGAAGCUUUUAGAGAUAGAAGUGUUCUCUUCGGAGACAAAGUGACAGGUGAUGCAUGGUCGUCGUCAGCUCGUGUCGUGAGAUGUUGGGUUAAGUCCCGCAACGAGCGCAACCCUUAUUGUUAGUUGCCAGCAUUCAGAUGGGCACUCUAGCGAGACUGCCGGUGACAAACCGGAGGAAGGCGGGGACGACGUCAGAUCAUCAUGCCCCUUAUGACCUGGGCUACACACGUGCUACAAUGGCGUAUACAACGAGUUGCCAACCCGCGAGGGUGAGCUAAUCUCUUAAAGUACGUCUCAGUUCGGAUUGUAGUCUGCAACUCGACUACAUGAAGUCGGAAUCGCUAGUAAUCGCGGAUCAGCACGCCGCGGUGAAUACGUUCCCGGGUCUUGUACACACCGCCCGUCACACCAUGGGAGUUUGUAAUGCCCAAAGCCGGUGGCCUAACCUUUUAGGAAGGAGCCGUCUAAGGCAGGACAGAUGACUGGGGUG
RNAcentral lists this ribosomal RNA (1473 nucleotides) under Leuconostoc mesenteroides. Its description in RNAcentral is "bacterial SSU rRNA". It matches the Rfam family "Bacterial small subunit ribosomal RNA". The record is from RNAcentral. Lineage: Bacteria; Bacillati; Bacillota; Bacilli; Lactobacillales; Lactobacillaceae.